AACGCGAAGAACCUUACCUACUCUUGACAUCCCAAGAAUACCGUAGAGAUAUGGUAGUGCCGAAAGGAACUUGGAGACAGGUGCUGCAUGGCUGUCGUCAGCUCGUGUCGUGAGAUGUUGGGUUAAGUCCCGUAACGAGCGCAACCCCUGUACUUAGUUGCUAACGAGUUAAGUCGAGCACUUUAAGUAGACUGCCCGUGAGAAGCGGGAGGAAGGCGGGGAUGACGUCAAGUCCUCAUGGCCUUUAUGAGUAGGGCUACACACGUGCUACAAUGGGCGGCACAGAGGGAAGCGAAACCGAGAGGUGAAGCGGAUCUCAGAAAACCGUUCGUAGUCCGGAUUGGAGUCUGCAACUCGACUCCAUGAAGCUGGAAUCGCUAGUAAUCGCGGAUCAGAACGCCGCGGUGAAUACGUUCCCGGGCCUUGUA
Molecule: ribosomal RNA, 428 nt
Filed under: uncultured delta proteobacterium
Lineage: Bacteria; Deltaproteobacteria
Description: bacterial SSU rRNA
Rfam family: Bacterial small subunit ribosomal RNA
Source: RNAcentral